AUUGAACGCUGGCGGCAGGCCUAACACAUGCAAGUCGAGCGGAGCGGCGGACGGGUGAGUAAUGCUUAGGAAUAUGACUGGUCGUGGGGGAUAACGUUCGGAAACGGGCGCUAAUACCGCUUACUAUCAGAUGCGCCUAGGUCGGAUUAGCUAGUUGGUGGGGUAAAGGGCUAGCAAGGCGACGAUCCGUAACUGGUCUGAGAGGAUGAUCAGGCACACUGGAACUGAGACACGGUCCAGACUCCUACGGGAGGCAGCAGUGGGGAAUAUUGGACAAUGGGCGAAAGCCUGAUCCAGCCAUGCCGCGUGUGUGAAGAAGGUCUUCGGAUUGUAAAGCACUUUAAGUUGGGAGGCGUUACCAACAGAAGAAGCACCGGCUAACUUCGUGCCAGCAGCCGCGGUAAUAC
This 407-nucleotide ribosomal RNA is filed under the name uncultured bacterium. RNAcentral describes it as "partial 16S ribosomal RNA". It matches the Rfam family "Bacterial small subunit ribosomal RNA", at positions 30 to 526 of the family's 1533-position model. The record is from RNAcentral.